Molecule: long non-coding RNA, 411 nt
Organism: Beta vulgaris subsp. vulgaris (sugar beet)
Lineage: Eukaryota; Viridiplantae; Streptophyta; Magnoliopsida; Caryophyllales; Amaranthaceae
Exons: 3
Source: RefSeq, a predicted model, not a curated record
UCCAACUAAUAAUAACUUCUAUAAUAAGUAAGUUUUAUUUUUAUCAAUAUGAAUUCUCAGGCUAUUAUACAAUGAUUUGAGGCGAUCUAGUCAGCCAAUGUUUGGUUGGUUAUGUCCAAGCUUUGUACGAGACGACAGUUGCGUACAAAACGAAGAGGAGGUGAAAGCAUAUCUCAAGGAUUCUUUGAACGCAUGUUCUCGUAUUGGAUAUAAGAUCAUUCUUCUUCCUUACAUUGAAUCGAACCAUUGGACACUGAUUGCAAUAUGUUUGUCACGUAACGAAGUCUACCACUUUGAUUCUUUGCGUAAAGGAACAAUACGGUCCUUACUAGUCAAAUCAUUGUUAAAUAGUGUGAUGAAGAAGCGUAUGCAUCUGGACUUCGACAAGGAAAACCUCCUGUUUGGUAUUUA